AAAAUUUGACCCGUGACCCAGGUCAAAGGUUUGACCCUAAGGGUUCCUCCUAUUCCACGUUGGUAGUCAACCAAAACACUCUUGAUUUUCUUUUUUUUUUUCACAUACAUCCCACUAGAAUUCUCAUAAACUACAAUAUCCCAAAACUACUCAAAACAACUCCAAAAAUAAAAGUUCACAAUUAAACAACUUAAUCAAAAUAAGGCUUCAUAACAAAUCCAUAAGUCAUAAUUACUAAAACAAAUCCCAAAAUCCAAAAAAACAUAAUAAAAGAAAAUGCCACGCUCCACUAGGCCGCUCCAGGAGCAUCCUGAAGUCCUCCCUGCCCCACCUGUGGAUCCUCAGGAAUGAUAUCUGCAUUUAAAAAGGUGUAAAAAAGGAAAGGGUGAGCAUUUCCACAUUGCUCAGUAGGAUGCCUAACGCCCAAGGGGUUAAGGGGAUUACUAAGUUCCAAAGAAUACGAAAAGAACACUUCAACACAACAGGAACAAUUCAAUAGUAUCAAUCAAACCACAUAGUUUAAUAUCUAAUAUUAUACACAAUUUCACAAAAUUCAACAAUUAAAUGAAUGCACAUGAACGUGUGACACACAGUUAUACAAUGCAUUAUUGUUCUCGGGCUUUCACCGAAAGAUACGCAUCCGCACCCAAAUGCACUCCCCAUUCGGAGUCUUCCUGGGGUAACUUUUAGGUCUUUCACCCUAAGGAUCUCUCUCCCUUCUUAAUUCGCCUCAUACGGGCUUUCACUUUUCAUCACUAUUUCAUUUUUUUCCAUUUCAUACACUUUUCACAAUUUUCAUAAUUUUUUUCGCAUAACCAUGAUGCAAAUGAAUGCCACAAUUCCAAAGUUCCUCAAUAAUUUCAACAAUCUCAACAUUCCCCAAUAAUCCAAUAAAAUAAUUUUCCACAUUAAAAUUUCCGAAAAUAUCCCAAAUAAAUAUUCAAAAAUUUGCAUAUCAAUAAACUUAAAAUUAUACCACACUUACGGAAUUUUUCAACCAUUCUAAUAAUUUCUAAUAUUCGAAAUCAACUAACUUUCCACCAUAAAAAUUCUGAAAAUAUUCUAACCAAUGCCCAAAAAUUCACAAAUCACUAUUUUUGAAAUUAAACCCUAAUUUCGGAAAUUUUCAACCCUUCUAAUAAUUUUUAAUAUUCGAAAUUAACUAACUUUCCACCAUAAAAAUUUCGAAAAUAUUCUAACCAAUGCCCAAAAAUUCACAAAUCACUAUAUUUGAAAUUAAACCCUAAUUUCGGAAUUUUUCAACCCUUCUAAUAAUUUUUAACAAUUCAAAACAAUUAAUUAUCAACCAAAGGCAAUUUCCCGCAAUUACAAAAAUUCCAAACAAAUUCCAAAUAAUCCAGAAAAAUUCAUACAACACCCAUAUUUCCUACUUAACUCAUAAUGACAAGAUUUACAAUUUUUUUCAAAGGAAACACAUUAAAUUUAAGUUUUAGGGUUAGGUUCCCCUACCAGAGAUCUAAGAAUUCAACCAUUAAAAACACGAUUGGCCACCGUAGGAUUGUUCCUCUCGUCGAAUAGAGCACCCCCUCAAAAUCUGAGUUGAAACGGAGGUCGUUUGGCCACCCAAAUGGUCGGUCAAAGUUCCGGCGAGAUGAAAUUUCCCACAGUGCCACUGCGCCUCCAUUUCUCAC
RNAcentral lists this long non-coding RNA (1652 nucleotides) under Vitis vinifera (wine grape). Its description in RNAcentral is "long non-coding RNA (VVIN_LNC006606)". The record is from RNAcentral. Lineage: Eukaryota; Viridiplantae; Streptophyta; Magnoliopsida; Vitales; Vitaceae.